Molecule: ribosomal RNA, 253 nt
Filed under: uncultured bacterium
Lineage: Bacteria
Description: partial 16S ribosomal RNA
Rfam family: Bacterial small subunit ribosomal RNA
Source: RNAcentral
GACAGAGGUGCCAAGCGUUAGGCGGAAUCACUGGGCUUAAAGCGUGUGUAGGUGGAAGCGUAAGUACCUUGUGAAAUCCCACGGCCUAACCGUGGAACUGCUUGGUAGACUGCAGCGCUUGAGGUUGGUAGGGGCUGCCGGAACUCUAGGUGGAGCGGUGAAAUGCGUAGAUAUCUAGAGGAACGCCCAAGGCGAAGGCAGGCAGCUGGGCCAAUUCUGACGCUGAGGCACGAAAGCGUGGGGAGCAAACAGG